CCUCUUCUCCAACCAUCUUUCUCUUUCUUCACACGUUUCAAGUUCUUCCUUCUUCUAUCGGUGUUCUUCUGGUUCGCGGAUAACCCGUCUCGCAGAAACACGUGCCCUCCAUCCGCUUCUCACCUUCCUUCCUUCGACCACCGUCUCCAUUUUGCUGCGGCCACACUCGUUCACCAUCCUAUCGUCGUUUUCCGGUCGAUUCUCGUGUGACAUCCCCGGUGGCCGAGACAACAAGUGUCCGCAGUCGCGAAUCGCGUCAUCUACUUUCGUGCACCAGUUUACCCUUCUGUUUUCUGGAUAACGCGAGUGAUUAACAUCUGCAGAGGAUUCUUUUCCACGACGAAUGCUCGUUAUCUGCUUGACGAGAAGCUUUCGAGGGAACAAGGGCCAUCAAGCAGCGAGCGUUCAUGUUGCCAGAAAGCAAGUUUCCCGUGACAGGGGGCACUAUGCAGACCGAGGAAGUCGUGCCUCGUGCACAAUCUACUGGGAUAGACAGUGGCCCCACAGACAGCACCACUCUGCAGCAUCAUCUGCAUCACUCGUCGCAGAUAAAGUGUCCCUUACCACCUCUGCUCCACAUGGCGGUCAAGCAGGAGCCCCAGGAGGAGGAGGAACGAAGUCGUGACACGAAUGCGUUGAGUCCACAAGUAGAUGCAGAUACGUCACUGACAUCUGUCGAUGGCAAACAUGGCCAUGGACACGAAACGGAUCAGAUUCAGGAGCUGGAGGAAAGUCCAGGGCAGACGGUUUCGGAUCUCGCUAACAGAGGAAGACCAAGUCGAGGUCGCAGGAAGUCGCGAUGGAAGUUGAAGUUCCAUCACCAAGCCCUGCCACCAGAGUACCUGGACCACUACGAAGCAUCGCUCGCUCAGGAAGCUUUAAAUUCCUCCCCGACGCACUUGGCGGAGCCGACGAUUCCGAGUCCUGCGCCUAUCAACUCCACCUCCAUCCCAAGUCCCAUCGCUGAUGUGCAUGGCUGGCUGCAACGGAUCGCCGCGAUGCAACAGGAACUAUGCCCGCAGAUCCCGUCUCCUCAGUGCCCGACGAGCAACUCGAAUCAGCCAUCGGGCUCCAGAAGAUCGGUGAUAACCUCCACUUCGUCCCACACCUUCAACUCGACCCACCAUAAUCACAGUCAGUCGCAGUCCCAAACAUCUGGCAGGCCACCGAUGAAAUACUCGGACCUACCUUACAUGGGUGAGAUCACGUUGGAUAACAGUAAGCCUAGAAGAGGUAGGAAGCCGAAGAAGGCAGACAUUUGCCAUUUAAUUUAUAAGAAUUACGGCACCAUACUUCCCGGGACACCGGGCCACGAGGAGAAGAGGCUGUCACCUAGGGACAAGCUCGACUGUCGCGAGAGGAUUUCCCCUCAGAUGCCCUUCCAGAGAAGCGAUGUUCAAAAUAGAAUUAGUAGCCUGUUGGAGAAGAGACUGACCCAGGAGUCGCGCAGGACGUUCGGGCUGAUGGAGAACUCGAAGGAGCAGGACGAACCUCUGAAUCUCUGCAUCAGAGAUCUGAACCAACUGAAGAUCAGGCUAUUGCGAAAGCAUGGCAACGUGUACGAGUCUGGACAGGUGAAGAGUGACACCUCCAGUGACGGGGAAGAAGUUGAGUGUAUAGGUGGUACAACUUAUCCUCCGGAGCCAGCCUACCGUUCCCUCGAUCCUCUUAGUCGCAACAGCAGCAAUAUAAAUCAUAAUAACAACAUAAUAGACCCUAUGCUGGGUGGUAAUCCUGGAUUCGUCUACUGGCCCAACGCUGGAGUGUUCAUUCACCCAAUGGCGUUGCAGUCCCAGCUCCUCUACUACCAGAAGAUGGCUCAGAACAGCAAGUGUUAUCCAAGGACUAUAGAGCAAGCUCCGAAAGAGCAGAAGAUCGUUCCCAAGUCCAUCUACUCGAUGCUGGAGACGAAGAGUCCACCUCUGGUACCUCCGUCCGCCCAGCCACCGCCUCAGACAGUACCUUUGCCACCUCCCGUCUCGCCCAGACCUAAAAGAAACGCGCCAAUUAGUCAAAGCCAAGGUCAGCCGACCAAGCGAAAACGUUCCGCGAUAUUCAUACCCCCGAUGCCCACGGAGAACAAUAAUAAUCCCGCGACCGAAGUGAGCAUAUGUAAAUUCAAGUUCACCGGAGGAGCGAAACCGAGUCUCCAGGAGAAGAAGAGUCUGUCAGUCGACUCUGGUGGUAACUUCAGAUAUUACAGCGGUACCGGUGACAAAAGUAUGCGCGGUUACGAGUUCUUCCCUAGAGAAGCUCUUCAGCAGUCCGCCGGACAAUCCGGCUCGUCGACUGGCGCUUUUCUGAACGCCGCUGGCGAGAGGAUUCAACCGGCACCCUGUCAAAGGAGCAGCAACCAGGAGGAGGGUCGUCGCAAGAGGAAGACACGGAAGUCUCUUCAGAGGGAGAAACUCGAGCAGACGUUCAAGGAAAAGGGUUUCCUUAUUCAAACCCAGCAACUGGAGUCCGCCGAGGGUGCUACCUAUUGUAAGUUCAGGCAACUCCGGAAGUUCACCAGGUAUCUGUUCAGAAGCUGGAAGGACUAUCUCCCAGGUAAUGUGCGCGAGCUGACUGGUAAUACCGAGGGGGAAAUCGCCGAUGGGGAUGUCGAGAGUGAUACUAAUGUGUUACCCUCGCCUGUUCCUCACCCUAAUAUGGUGGACGUGUCCACUGGGUUCGUCGAUGAACAUAGAGCUCUGCCUCUGACGUGAAACGUGGAAAUUGCUCGCCGAGACGAUCGGUCGGUUUUAAUUUGACGUUGCUGGAUUAGCGGUGUCCGGGCUGGGGGGAGGAUCCGAGGAUGCGUGUGGUUAGUCGGGUUGGGAAAUGGUUGGUUCAGGAAAUUUUUCCUUUGUUAGGGGUAUCAAGAAUCGCUGACAAAAGUAUUUGCUUUCGUCAAGAUUAUAAAUUAAAGGAAUUUAUAAAAUGUAUCGUAUGCGUUCAUAGUUCACUUGGAUCACUUUUGUGGACUGCUCAUAUGUGUUCAUAGUAUAAAAAAAAGUCGAGUGUGAUUAGGCUGAAAACUUGAUUUGAAUUUCAUUACAUUCGCUUGCUGAUUUACAAAGGAAAUCAUUGAUAAUUGAAAUCGAAAGCCAACACACCGUGAGAAAUAAUAACGUUUCAAAUUGGUACUUGAAUAUAUUUCAUCAAUGAUCGCAUAUAGCACAAGGAUUUUAUCGUCAUCUCGUUAUUAUUAUUCUUCGCGGGCGUCCUGUACGCUGUCCAUAAUUGUACAAAAAAAGAGUCGCGCAGGUAUGGAGAUAUGAUAAAGUUCGUUACUGAUAUCGUACAAAUGUACCAGUAAUGUUAAUAUCAUUAAACGUUCUACAAUUACAUAAAAAAACAAGAACGAAAAACAAGAUAAAUUGUUGCUGUCUUUCAUGACCGAGAAAAAAUAGUAUUUUUUAUCAUUUUUAUGAAAGAAUAAUUAGUAGAAAAUGAGAUACGAGGGUCAUUUAAUCAGUAAAGAAAUAAACAGGUGUAACUUUGAAAUAAAAUGAAAUGAAAUGAAAUUAAUAAUAAUUUCAUAUGUUUUAUACAUUUAUUAUCUACCCCUUUGAUUUUCAAUGUAGCUAAUUCGUACUCUGUAAUUAGUAUAUUUUUUAUAAGAGCUCACCAUAAUUAAUUAAGUGUAAGAGUCUGCAAGAAUAUUAAUGAGUUUUCAUAAUGACAUAGUAUCAUGAUUCUUAUUUAAAUAGUUUUCCACCUGCUACCUUCUAACUUAUCGAAUGACUCUUGUGUUAUCUGAAAGAUUCGUAAUAGGCUUUGAAUUACAGUCAUGUAAAUAACACUUUUAAUAAUUUAGUAACAGAAAAACAGUAACACCUGAUCUAUUAAUCAUUAUGAAUCUGUAUAAACGUACAGUUUAUUCUUACGCAAUAGCAAUUGAACGUUACGUGAAUUGUAGUUAACCUUCGUUUAACAAGAAAUAACCCUGUACGAUAUUGUAAAUAUCGUGAACAUAUCAAGUACAUAAUUAUAUUAACAAAUCUUCAGAAGUACUUGAGUCGUUGCUAAUUCAUAAGAACACAGUGUAACAUUGACUGUGAUUCAAUGAAACAAAUAUUAUUAUUCUUUCCGAUAAUUUCAUUGAUUUUAAUAAGUUUCUUGAUUUGUAAAUCAGCAGGCGAGUGCAUUGCUAUUGAUACAUCGCAUAAAAGCAUUGGAGUAUUCUGAAAAUUUCUAAUCCUAAAAAGACAGCUCCAUUAGAAUUGAAUUAUUUUAUUACUAAUUAUUAUACAGAAAAAGUGAUUAAAUUUUUCGAGAUGAUUCAAUAUAUCGGUCGCUAAGAAGAGCCUAAUUCGUUGAAGAAUUUUAAUUACAAAAGCUGAGCGCCGUAAGAGGAGAAGAACAGAGGAAACAGGUGGCGACGUAAUCGUUUUAAUAAUAAUGUAAAUUCGAUCGUAGCUCCGUGCCAAAGAUGGGAGACUGGAAUGUACAUAGUGUUGAAAGAACCGUGUUAACCAAAGAGUGGUUUCGUGCUCGACGAUUAGAAGCGGAUGCAACGAUAAUCCGCUCGAAGGGGCGUGAGCCGAUAAAUUCAGCUUUCUAUCGGCUCGAGCUGUUCGCGAGACCUUUCCUCGAGCCGAUUUUGCAAUGCAUUUUGUAGAAAGAGAGAAGAAAUGAGAAUGAAACUCUAGAAACGAAGGCGAAACGAGCAAUGCCCGUUAUCAUUAUUAAUUAUCAUUAACGAAAUCUAGUCUUAUUUAUACUCUUUGUUAUGUAAAUCAAAAGCCGUGCUUUUUUUUUCUUUUUUAUUAUUAUACACAUAGCGAUUUAUUUAUGUAUGUACAUAAUUAUCGACGCGUGAACGUUUAAUUAAAAAAUAAAUAAACGUGUAUACGUGCAAUUGAUAAGUAUGGGACGAACGAUGAAAACGCGAAUGAAACGAUCGUACCUGAGGCUCGUGACGUGUCUUUAAAUGGGACACGUAUUUGCUGAUUUCUCGUUUUCAACAUCGUCCGUUUUGUAAAUUCUCGACGAAACUCGAUAGAAAAAAAAGGAAAAACGCUCAAAGGAUGUUUAUGGAGGAAUAAAACGAGGGAAAGUGCAACAGGAACCGUCCUAUGUCUGUAUCGUUUACUGUCCUGUGCAGCGACACGUAGAACUAUUUUGAACGGCGAAUCAAAUAACAGUGCUAAUAUUUUUAAUCAGUUAUCCGUUACUCCAUUAAUGUUAAAGGUUGGCUGAAUGUCUCAUUGAUACAUGGGAGUCGUGUUGGCGAUACAGCUUGGCUGGACAGGUACACACGCGUGAAGGUAAGCACAGAAAGGGGAUAAGGAUGCGUGUGCACGCAGUUCAACCCAGCCAUUCAUGCAUACGCCCAUUCAUACGUCUCUCUGGCUCACCUUGAAGACUUUUUAUCCGCGGUCAAGAUGUGGUCGUGGCCGUGGAACGAUCCUCUUCUUCGAGCUCCCAUCUUCCAGAAGGGGGAAUCUUCAGUGAAUUUUCGUCGUUGGAUCCCACCUGUUUGGAACACCUGACUGUAAAACAAAAAGGGGACGCCGAAUGGUUGGCACUAAAAGUUUUGGGAACAAUUCUAAGUAACAUCAAUAUUAUUUAAAAUAAUUUUACAAGACACCAAAUGAAAACUCUAAACUGUAAUUAACAUACAGAGGUUGGAAUAAAACUAAUUUAAUUUUUAAAUUGCCAAUUUGAAAUUUUUUUAAAGAAUUUUUUUAUUUUUUUAUUAAAUGGAAAUAAAUUUUUUUUCUUAUAAAGAAAGUUUAAUAAUUGUAUUUAGAAACUAAAAGGUACGUUUAUCUACCUACAUCUAUUGUGUUACUUUCUGAAAGGGACACGGACAAAGAGCAAUCGAAUUUGACGAUGAAGAGGUGAGCAGGAUUUUUCCAAGCGUCGUCGUCGCCGACGUCGUUGUUCAGCGUGGCGCGCACAAUGACUGCAGGUUUCCUAAUACGGCCUCGUCCUGGACCCCGAUGAAAAAAAGAGGAAUUUUGGCCCAUCAGCAAGGGCCUGGGAAGGAACGUCCUACGUUAGAGACCCUGCCGGUGCAGAAAUUUAAUAAUCGAGUAAUGUUUUCUCUUUUUAAUUAAUUCAACACUUUGACAGCCAUACAUUUCAUCAAAUCAGAAAUUUUAUUUUUUAUUUUAUUAUUUUAUCAAAUCAGAAAUUUUAUUAUUUUUUGAAGAAAUAUCAGAGUUCCAUUUAAGGUGCUCGGUGAAAUUAUAAUUAUUAAAAAAUAAGAAAAGAGAGUCAUGAAAGGGUUAAGGUACCAAGUUAUUACCUAUCCCGAUUAAAAUUUACCUCGUAA
Osmia bicornis bicornis is the source of this 6268-nucleotide RNA transcript. RefSeq lists it as uncharacterized. NCBI's taxonomy places the organism in Eukaryota, Metazoa, Arthropoda, Insecta, Hymenoptera, Megachilidae. The record is from RefSeq and is a predicted model, not a curated record. The transcript is spliced from 6 exons.